GAGUUUGAUCGUGGCUCAGGACGAACGCUGGCGGUGUGCUUCACACAUGCAAGUCGAACGGGGUAGCAAUACCCAGUGGCGGACGGGUGAGUAACACGUGGGAAUCUACCAUAAGGUGGGGAAUAACAGGCCGAAAGGUCUGCUAAUGCCGCAUAUGUAGGCAUCUCGACAGAGGUGUUUAAUGAAAGGAGUAAUCCGCCUUUUGAUGAGUCCCGCGUCCGAUUAGCUAGUUGGUAGGGUAAAAGCCUACCAAGGCGACGAUCGGUAGGUGGUCUGAGAGGAUGAUCACCCACAAUGGGACUGAGACACGGCCCAUACUCCUACGGGAGGCAG
RNAcentral lists this ribosomal RNA (333 nucleotides) under uncultured Alphaproteobacteria bacterium. RNAcentral describes it as "bacterial SSU rRNA". It matches the Rfam family "Bacterial small subunit ribosomal RNA", at positions 9 to 351 of the family's 1533-position model. Lineage: Bacteria; Pseudomonadati; Pseudomonadota; Alphaproteobacteria. The record is from RNAcentral.